CAGCAACAUUUUUAGAAAAGCGCAAGCAACUGCGACCCCUUCCGUACGCCAUUUGGGCUCACCGAGCAUCUGGCCUUCAAGGGAGAAACGGCCGGCAGUGUAGAAACGGAAUGGCGUCAGUUUCAAAUCCUGUCCCACACUAAGAACCCCAGCUAGUCUGCACUGAACUCGCACGCUGCAAAUGCGUGCGGCGCCGGGAAGGAUGGAGCGAUGUAGCAGAACACGCUCCGCUUCCCGCGGAGGGAGUGAACCCGGCAAGGGAACGGCGGCGCGUGGCAGAAUAGAGGCCAAUCGAAAGUGCAGAUGGAUUAUCCAGAUUCAUUGCAGCCAAAUCCUUGCCCAUCAUUGUCUCGAGAAACAGUCUGCUGGUCGGGGGUUCCAUUGAGAUCACGAUGUCCUCAUCUCCUGAGAAGGGGUUAAGGAAGAAGAUGCCUCUGUCCAUGCUGAGCACAAUCACAACGUAAAAAACAACAAUGAGAAAUUCCAGAUCCUGCUUUGUAUGGUAGAAAAAUGGACUGAUGAAUAAACAGACAAACAGUG
This is a long non-coding RNA of Lepisosteus oculatus (spotted gar), 540 nucleotides long. RefSeq lists it as uncharacterized. NCBI's taxonomy places the organism in Eukaryota, Metazoa, Chordata, Actinopteri, Semionotiformes, Lepisosteidae. The record is from RefSeq and is a predicted model, not a curated record.